This is a long non-coding RNA of Mycetomoellerius zeteki, 1898 nucleotides long. RefSeq lists it as uncharacterized. The transcript is spliced from 3 exons. Lineage: Eukaryota; Metazoa; Arthropoda; Insecta; Hymenoptera; Formicidae. The record is from RefSeq and is a predicted model, not a curated record.
GCUGGCAGUCCAUAUUAUAGCUGCGUUCGGAAACGUCGCUCGGAUGCCUCCGAUGUCUCGGAUUCGUUAUCUGUCCUUUAACAUUAAAUGUUAAACGAAGACAGAUAAUGAAUCCGAGGCAUCGAAGGCAUCCGAGCGACAUUUCCGAACGCAGCCUAUAUAGUCAAAAGUGCGAACAACAGAAUUUUAUCAUUCUCGGUGGAAUCAAAAUAGGAUAAAAGACAAUUGAAAACGACUAAAAGUAAUAAUUAUUAAGACUUGAGUAAUAAAUAUUAAAACUAAUAAAUCGUCAAGCUGCUUGGCUUUCAAAAACGAAAAUUCGCUGCAGCGAAAAAGGCAGCAAAGAGCACAGCGGUCGAAGGAAAAAGAACAAAAUAGAUCAAAACGAGUCUAUUCAAGAUCACAGGUACUUUGUACUUGUUUGUGUAUACUAAGAAGUUUAAUAUAACAGUUGUGAGCUGGAAUUGAACUAAUUGAAGUAGACUGAAAUCAGUAACAACGGCUGUCUCCGACCAGAGAUUACUUUCAAUUCCUGAAAAUGUGAACGUCAUAGCAUGGAGAUUUUUAUAGGAAUGGAAAUUCCAAAAUAUAAAACUUAAACUGGAAACAUGAUAUGAUUCAUGGAAUUGGUUGGCAGGUUAUACAAGACUUAGCGCCGAGACACUACUGUCUCCAGAUAAGAAAAAUGUGACAUCAAUGAGAGGUUAAGAAGACAAAUAAAAAUCUGUGAUGUAUAUUUCCUGUGAUAAGUUGCGUACAUGUGUAGUAUAAAUGUAGCGUAUACAUGUAAUAUAAAUUUUUGUACUAAUGACCUGAUUCCUCGCAUACUGAUAAUUAGCUUACAUUUUCAUAUUUUUCACAAUGGCUCCUCAAAUUAAGUUUUUUUUGCCGAUUUCCGGGCAUUGCAGCAAUGCGUAUUAUUGGUCCGGAGGUGGGAUUGAGAAAAUAAAAAAUAAGCACUUCUACAGAAAAAAGUUAUUUCAACAAAAUGGAAAAAUAUUCGUGACAUUGAUGUUACACAAGAUUGUCGUAAUAAAUUCGUGUGUGAAGACCAUUUUCGGCAAACAGAUUUCGUUAAUUUUACUAGACAUGCUUUGAAUCCUUUCGCGGUUCCGUCGUGCUUAGAAGUUGAAUCGAACUUUAAUCCAAUAUAGGUUUCAGCUCCUUUUGAAAACAGUCCAAAAAAUACGAAUUAUUUGCAUCCACUGAAUUCUGUUGAAUCAUCUCUUGUUUGUAAUGAUUCGCGUGCAAUGUCCACAUUAAUUAAUGUGAUUAACAGAAACAAUAACUCUGUUCAUAAUGACAUAGCCUGUGAGAAUGCUGCCACUGACACUAACGUAACGGAAAGUUUAUGCAAAAAUAUUGCAAAUGUUGAAAAUGUUAAUUCCCACAUUUGUUCAAAAUCAGACAAUAGAGAAAACUGGGACCUGUUAUAUUGUAUACUCGAUAAUAUGAUCGACGAUACAGAUGAUAAUAAUAAGACAAUAGAUAAUAAUAUUUCAAUUGUAUCAACAGCACAAACAACACCAAAAAAAAGAAAAUUUGGUUUUUUGUCAGAGGCAAGUGUAUCUUCAAAGGAAAUGACGCCGCGCAAGAGUCGAAUGUACGAAGUUCAUCGAAAAGUUGCAAAAAAAAUGUAUAAAUUUAAAAGACAAUUGCAGAACAAAACGGACACUUUGAAACAAUUAAAAGAGUGGAGCUAUAAUCGUGGAGUUUUCGAAUGUAUAUAGAAUCGACUCAACGAGGUAACGAAAAAUUUCAUUGACUCUCAAUUACGAAACGUAGACCGGUCAUCUUUUGCGAGAAGAUGGACAGAACAAGAUAAGAUUUUUGCUUUAUCACUUUACAAGCGCAGUCCACGGGUAUAUAAAUAUCUGUCUAACUACUUUCAGUUACCA